RNAcentral lists this ribosomal RNA (469 nucleotides) under uncultured bacterium. Its description in RNAcentral is "partial 16S ribosomal RNA". The stretch from base 20 to 327 matches the Rfam family "Bacterial small subunit ribosomal RNA", at positions 47 to 358 of the family's 1533-position model. The record is from RNAcentral.
GAUGAACGCUGGCGGCGUGCUUAACACAUGCAAGUCGAACGGAAAGGCCCAAGCUUGCUUGGGUACUCGAGUGGCGAACGGGUGAGUAACACGUGGGUGAUCUGCCCUGCACUUCGGGAUAAGCCUGGGAAACUGGGUCUAAUACCGGAUAGGACCACAUUUUGGAUGGUGUGGUGGAAAGUUUUUCGGUGUGGGAUGAGCUCGCGGCCUAUCAGCUUGUUGGUGGGGUAAUGGCCUACCAAGGCGUCGACGGGUAGCCGGCCUGGGAGGGGGUACGGCCAAGGUGGGGGAUGGAGAGAGGGCCGGGCCCCGGGGGGGGGGAGGGAGGGGGGAAGUUGGCAAGGGGGGGCCAGGCGUGAGGGGCGGGGGCCGGGGGGGGGGGGGCGGUUGUGGGUUUGUAAGCACCUUUGGGGAGGGAAGAAGGUGUUUUGGGAGGGUACGUGAAAAAAAAGCCCCGGCUAACUACGUG